AAUAGAUACCCAGGUAGUCCACGCCGUAAACGAUGGAUACUAGCUGUUGGGGGUAUCGACCCCCCAGUAGCGAAGCUAACGCGUUAAGUAUCCCGCCUGUGGAGUACGGUCGCAAGACUAAAACAUAAAGGAAUUGACGGGGACCCGCACAAGCGGUGGAUUGUGUUCUUUAAUUCGAUGAUAAACGAAGAACCUUACCAGGGUUUGACAUCCCUUGAAUUAUGCCGAAAGGCGUGAGUGCUUUAUUGAACAAGGUGACAGGUGAUGCAUGGCCGUCGUCAGCUCGUGUCGUGAGAUGUUUGGUUAAGUCCAUCAACGAGCGCAACCCUUGUCUUCAGUUGGAUUUUUCUGAAGAGACUGCCCCGGCAACGGGGAGGAAGGAGGGGAUGAUGUCAGGUCAGUAUUUCCCUUACAUCCUGGGCUAGAAACGCAAUACAAUGGCGAGUACAAUGCGCAGCGAAGCGGCAACGUGAAGCAAAUCGCAUCAAAACUCGUCCCAGUUCGGAUUAGAGGCUGAAACUCGCCUCUAUGAAGUCGGAA
RNAcentral lists this ribosomal RNA (540 nucleotides) under uncultured bacterium. RNAcentral describes it as "bacterial SSU rRNA". It matches the Rfam family "Bacterial small subunit ribosomal RNA", at positions 777 to 1331 of the family's 1533-position model. The record is from RNAcentral.